RNAcentral lists this ribosomal RNA (497 nucleotides) under uncultured bacterium. RNAcentral's name for it is "partial 16S ribosomal RNA". It matches the Rfam family "Bacterial small subunit ribosomal RNA", at positions 28 to 507 of the family's 1533-position model. The record is from RNAcentral.
GAUGAACGCUGGCGGCGUGCCUAAUACAUGCAAGUCGAGCGAACAGACGAGGAUCUUGCUGCUCUCACGUUAGCGGCGGAGGGGUGAAAAACACGUGGAUAACCUACCUAUAAGACUGGGAAAACUUCGGGAAACCGGAGCUAAUAGCGGAGAAUAUCUUGAACCGCAGGGUUCAAUGGUGAAAGACGGUGGUGCUGGCACUUAUAGAUGGAUCCGCGCCGCAUUGGCUAGUUGGUAAGGUAACGGAUUAUCAAGGCAAGGCUGCGUAGCCGAACGGAGAGGGUGAGUGGCCACCCUGGAAGUGUGACACGCUACAGUCGCCCACGGGAGCGAGCAGUAGGGAAUCUUGCGCCAUGAGCGAAAGCCUGACGGAGCAACGCCGCGUGAGGGAUGAACGUCUUCGGAUCGUAGAACUCUGUUAUUAGGGAAGAACAAAUGUGUAAGUAACUAUGCACGUAUUGACGGUACCUAAUCAGAAAGCCACGGCUAACUACGUG